UACGAAGGGGGCUAGCGUUGCUCGGAAUUACUGGGUGUAAAGGGUUCGUAGGCGGUGUGGCAAGUCGGGAGUGAAAUCUCUGGGCUCAACCCAGAGACUGCUUCCGAAACUGCUGUGCUUGAGUGUGAGAGAGGCUCGUGGAAUUGCAGGUGUAGCGGUGAAAUGCGUAGAUAUCUGCAGGAACACCCGUGGCGAAAGCGGCGAGCUGGAUCACUACUGACGCUGAGGAACGAAAGCUAGGGGAGCAAACAGG
Molecule: ribosomal RNA, 253 nt
Filed under: uncultured bacterium
Lineage: Bacteria
Description: partial 16S ribosomal RNA
Rfam family: Bacterial small subunit ribosomal RNA
Source: RNAcentral